Oreochromis niloticus (Nile tilapia) is the source of this 1631-nucleotide long non-coding RNA. RefSeq lists it as uncharacterized. NCBI's taxonomy places the organism in Eukaryota, Metazoa, Chordata, Actinopteri, Cichliformes, Cichlidae. The record is from RefSeq and is a predicted model, not a curated record. The transcript is spliced from 3 exons.
UCCAGGAGGAGUUCCUCAGUUUGUACUGAGGUUUCAUCAUACCUACAGUUCUUCAUUUUACGGCUCUCGGUUCUCUGCUCCAAAAUUCACAUCCACUCAUCAGUCAACAACAGAUUAUCGUUUAAUCAUCAACAAUGUGGAGGAGGGAGACUCUGCAGUCUAUUACUGUAAGACAUGGGACAGCUCUGUUAAUGAGUUCGCAUCACAGUGAUUUACACUAUGACAAAAGCCUCCUCACGGAUACUUCUGCUUUUUGAGAUUUUUACAAAUACUGAUAACAAAGACAUCUUGGAAGCUCAGUCUAAACACACUACCUGUUAUUAUUUUUUUAGUGACAACCAUCAGACUAUUCAAAUAUUGUUUCACCAUAUGAUUGACUAAUACACACAAAAAGUUAUUGACAUAUGGCUCUUAAAUUAAUUUUGAUGAAUCAGAAAGUAGAUGUGUGAGGAUAAGCAUAUUACAGAUAAACAUUUGUUCUUCUCUAACUGCUUUCAUAAAAACACUUUUCAUGUCAGACAUGUGAAAAUGAAUAUGAACCAGAAUCACUGACGAUAAGAGUUCAAACAUAGAUUUUUGUACUCUGUAUUUUCAGGAUUCCCUUUUCCUCCUGAUGGUGGAAACACUUUAAUAUUUCUCUUUCUUUUUAAAAUAGCCAUCAACUGUUUUUGGUCAUCACAUCUGCAAACCUUCAUUCAUAAUUUUCUGAAACUUAGUUGCAUGAUCGCAAAAUUUAACAAAGGAUGGUUUACACAGAACUAAUGCUGAAACAACUUGAUUGGCACCUUUUGAGAAACUUUAAAAUCUAACAAUACUUGAUUUAAAAUUUGAAUAAAAUCAGAAAGAUAAAGUGUUAAAUAUAGCAAAUAAAAAAUUCUUUCUUAAGUAGUACAUGAGUAUAAAAGUGAUUAUAAAAUUUAAAAAAACAAUUAAAAAAGAAAGAAAUUACGAUGAUCACAUUUUACUGGAGUGACAGACAGGAGACAUUGUCACCACCAAUAGCUGUAAAUGUAGUCAAGACAAAAAUUAUACAUAUUUUCAAAGCUCCUCCUCCUGUUUGUUGUUUUAUAAAAAGGCUCCUCCAGCACCUCCUCUCUUUAUCCAACAAAGGUAGUAGUGGCUCUCAACCUUACAAGUCCAUUCUCAGCUCAAACUGAAAACAUGCUGGUGGCUCUCUGUGCUCUCAUCCAGUCGCUUUUUUCCCCAAGUUCCUUAGACUGCCAUGACCUGGAUGACUGACAGCCUACACAGAUAUGUUGUUCCUACCAGAUUCUCCUCCUGCCACAUUCACGCUUCAGUUCUGGUCCGUAUUGCACCAACUACUACAGUCAGAUCCCAAACUAAGGACCAUACUCACCUCGUUCACCCGCCUGCCUCCUGCCUGUUGUCACUCCUCCGGGACUGGACAUCUUUCAUCGUACUCACCCAAGUGGACACUCUCACAGACACCUCCCCCAGGACUCACCAUCUCCAAUCUGCAAAGUUCCCUGUUCCUUGGCUCUCCGUGUGCCUCCUGUGUUUAAGCAUUUCAGCGCCCUCAAUCUUCCUCGGCUCUAGCUCUGUUUAAGUUUCAGUUUCUAGCCAUGUUCUUGUUUAAGUUCACAUUUUGUAAAUAAACCUUGUAAAUAGUU